This 253-nucleotide ribosomal RNA is filed under the name uncultured bacterium. Its description in RNAcentral is "partial 16S ribosomal RNA". It matches the Rfam family "Bacterial small subunit ribosomal RNA", at positions 524 to 776 of the family's 1533-position model. The record is from RNAcentral.
CACGUAGGUGGCAAGCGUUGUCCGGAUUUACUGGGCGUAAAGGGCGUGCAGGCGGUCUGUUAAGUCUAGGGUGAAAGCUCCCGGCUCAACUGGGAGAGGUCCUUGGAUACUGGCAGACUUGAGGAGAGUAGAGGAGAGUGGAAUUCCCGGUGUAGUGGUGAUAUGCGUAGAUAUCGGGAGGAACACCAGUGGCGAAGGCGGUUCUCUGGGCCUUACCUGACGCUGAGGAGCGAAAGCGUGGGGAGCGAACAGG